RNAcentral lists this ribosomal RNA (376 nucleotides) under uncultured organism. Its description in RNAcentral is "partial 16S ribosomal RNA". It matches the Rfam family "Bacterial small subunit ribosomal RNA", at positions 527 to 896 of the family's 1533-position model. The record is from RNAcentral.
GUAGGUGGCAAGCGUUGUCCGGAAUUAUUGGGGCGUAAAGCGCGCGCAGGCGGUUCUUUAAGUCUGAUGUCGAAAGCCCCACGGGCUCAACCGUGGAGGGUCAUUGGAAACUGGAGAACUUGAGUACAGAAGAGGAAAGCGGAAUUCCACGUGUAGCGGUGAAAUGCGUAGAGAUGUGGAGGAACACCAGUGGCGAAGGCGGCUUUCUGGUCUGUAACUGACGCUGAGGCGCGAAAGCGUGGGGAGCAAACAGGAUUAGAUACCCUGGUAGUCCACGCCGUAAACGAUGAGCGCUAAGUGUUAGGGGGUUUCCGCCCCUUAGUGCUGCAGCUAACGCAUUAAGCACUCCGCCUGGGGAGUACGGCCGCAAAGGCUG